This 253-nucleotide ribosomal RNA is filed under the name uncultured bacterium. Its description in RNAcentral is "partial 16S ribosomal RNA". It matches the Rfam family "Bacterial small subunit ribosomal RNA", at positions 524 to 776 of the family's 1533-position model. The record is from RNAcentral.
UACGUAGGGGGCAAGCGUUGUUCGGAAUUACUGGGCGUAAAGGGCGCGUAGGCGGCUUUGCAAGUCGGGUGUGAAAUCCCCAGGCUUAACCUGGGAACUGCAUUCGAGACUGCAUUGCUAGAGUAUGGGAGAGGGAAGUGGAAUUUCCGGUGUAGCGGUGAAAUGCGUAGAUAUCGGAAGGAACAUCAGUGGCGAAAGCGACUUCCUGGACCAAUACUGACGCUCAUGUGCGAAAGCGUGGGGAGCAAACAGG